UAGUAACUCAUCCCCAAUAAGGAUUGCAGGGGUGGGCGUUAACAAUGAAAAUUUUAAAUGUAUGUAACUCCGAAGCUAGUGAACCAAUUUUUAUCAAAUUGUCUAAGCAUCUGUAAUUUGGUCUAACUUGAGAGAUAGGGUAGUUUUUAUCUCAAUUGGACCCGGUAGGUGGCGCUGCUAUUGGUAUGUAACUGAAACUACUGAAUCAAUUUUUAUCAAAUUUUGUAGGCAUCUGUAAUUUGGUCCAACUUGGAAGAUGGCGUAGUUUUUGUCUUAUUUGGAACUGGUAGGUGGCGCAGCUAUCGGUAUGUAAGCUAUCAAAUUUGGUAGCUGUUUUCGGGGCAGGACAUCUGCCGGGUCCGCUAGUAAAUAUAUAUAUUUUUUUAAAUAAAGUUGUUUUAUUUUAGUAAAUAAAUGUAUAAUAUAUAUUAAUACAAAUUGUAAGUAAAAGUAGAUAUUAUAUAUGAAACGUAUUACAUCUAUAUAUGUAGGAACUGUACUAUGUUUAAUAUACGUAGGUAUGUAUGUAGGUAUAGUUUUUCUAUAAGUAUUACUAUACUCUGUGGUAUAGAUAUACAUUUGUCGACGUUAGUACCAAAUCUCAAAUCCGCGCGAGGCGCUAAUGAUGCAUUUCCAAUUUUAGCUUUAGAGUUACGCCUCUAUUUCCUAUAUAUACAAAGUACUCUGUGGGCAUUGCGGUCUGAAAUCGAUUAAUCGAAGAAUCGAUUCUCAGACCUAAUAAAUCGGUUUUUUAAUUAGAUAAUUAUGUUGUACUGAAUCGAAUCAGUGAAUCGAUAUUUCAUCCUUGAAAAUCGACAUUCGAUUUUUUUCUGUUUUGGUAAAAACCAUAAAACCAUUUACAAUUAGCUGAAUGUACUCGUUAUAUUACAGGAUUGCCGAUUAAAGGGUUAAUUACUCAAAAACACUAAUUUUAGAUGUAUAUAUUGCUAAGUAUAUGGCUUUUUUAUUAUUUUUAACCUUUUGUUCAGUUUUUUUUUUCACUUUAU
This 1007-nucleotide unclassified non-coding RNA is filed under the name Melitaea cinxia (Glanville fritillary). Its description in RNAcentral is "misc RNA ENSMCXG00005013939.1". Lineage: Eukaryota; Metazoa; Arthropoda; Insecta; Lepidoptera; Nymphalidae. The record is from RNAcentral.